RNAcentral lists this non-coding RNA (94 nucleotides) under Aurantiochytrium limacinum. Lineage: Eukaryota; Bigyra; Thraustochytrida; Thraustochytriidae. The record is from RNAcentral.
GGAAAAAGGUGGUACCUAAGUUUCUUUUCUUUUCUUCUCUUUUCUUUGCUUUCCUUUCAUUGCUCGUUCUUUCCUUUACUUAGUUUAAGUUUAA